RNAcentral lists this ribosomal RNA (760 nucleotides) under uncultured bacterium. Its description in RNAcentral is "bacterial SSU rRNA". It matches the Rfam family "Bacterial small subunit ribosomal RNA", at positions 57 to 811 of the family's 1533-position model. The record is from RNAcentral.
GCAAGUCGAGCGGGGAAAGGUAGCUUGCUACCUAACCUAGCGGCGGACGGGUGAGUAAUGCUUAGGAAUCUGCCUAUUAGUGGGGGACAACAUUCCGAAAGGAAUGCUAAUACCGCAUACGCCCUACGGGGGAAAGCAGGGGAUCUUCGGACCUUGCGCUAAUAGAUGAGCCUAAGUCAGAUUAGCUAGUUGGUGGGGUAAAGGCCUACCAAGGCGACGAUCUGUAGCGGGUCUGAGAGGAUGAUCCGCCACACUGGGACUGAGACACGGCCCAGACUCCUACGGGAGGCAGCAGUGGGGAAUAUUGGACAAUGGGCGAAAGCCUGAUCCAGCCAUGCCGCGUGUGUGAAGAAGGCCUUUUGGUUGUAAAGCACUUUAAGCGAGGAGGAGGCUACUUGGAUUAAUACUCUAGGAUAGUGGACGUUACUCGCAGAAUAAGCACCGGCUAACUCUGUGCCAGCAGCCGCGGUAAUACAGAGGGUGCGAGCGUUAAUCGGAUUUACUGGGCGUAAAGCGUGCGUAGGCGGCUUUUUAAGUCGGAUGUGAAAUCCCUGAGCUUAACUUAGGAAUUGCAUUCGAUACUGGGAAGCUAGAGUAUGGGAGAGGAUGGUAGAGUUCCAGGUGUAGCGGUGAAAUGCGUAGAGAUCUGGAGGAAUACCGAUGGCGAAGGCAGCCAUCUGGCCUAAUACUGACGCUGAGGUACGAAAGCAUGGGGAGCAAACAGGAUUAGAUACCCUGGUAGUCCAUGCCGUAAACGAUG